UCUGCGACAAUCUUGGCCUCGUCG
RNAcentral lists this microRNA (24 nucleotides) under Triops cancriformis. Its description in RNAcentral is "tcf-miR-10308". Lineage: Eukaryota; Metazoa; Arthropoda; Branchiopoda; Notostraca; Triopsidae. The record is from miRBase by way of RNAcentral.